RNAcentral lists this ribosomal RNA (429 nucleotides) under uncultured bacterium. RNAcentral describes it as "bacterial SSU rRNA". It matches the Rfam family "Bacterial small subunit ribosomal RNA", at positions 28 to 456 of the family's 1533-position model. The record is from RNAcentral.
GAUAAACGCUGGCGGCGUGCUUAACACAUGCAAGUCGAACGAAGUUUUUCCUUCGGGAGAAACUUAGUGGCGGACGGGUGAGUAACGCGUGGGUAACCUGCCCUGUACAGGGGGACAACAGCUGGAAACGGCUGCUAAUACCGCAUAAGCCCUUAGCACUGCAUGGUGCAUAGGGAAAAGGAGCAAUCCGGUACAGGAUGGACCCGCGUCUGAUUAGCCAGUUGGCAGGGUAACGGCCUACCAAAGCGACGAUCAGUAGCCGAUCUGAGAGGAUGUACGGCCACAUUGGGACUGAGACACGGCCCAGACUCCUACGGGAGGCAGCAGUGGGGAAUAUUGCACAAUGGAGGAAACUCUGAUGCAGCGACGCCGCGUGAGUGAAGAAGUAUUUCGGUAUGUAAAGCUCUAUCAGCAGGGAAGAAAAUGACG